This 329-nucleotide ribosomal RNA is filed under the name uncultured bacterium. RNAcentral's name for it is "bacterial SSU rRNA". It matches the Rfam family "Bacterial small subunit ribosomal RNA", at positions 568 to 898 of the family's 1533-position model. The record is from RNAcentral.
CGCGUAGGUGGUAGUGUAAGUCUGGGGUGGAAUGCCGGGGCUUAACCCUGGAAUUGCCUUGGAAACUGCAUUACUUGAGUCAGUGAGGGGAGGGUAGAAUUCCUGGUGUAGCGGUGAAAUGCGUAGAUAUCAGGAGGAAGGCCUGUGGCGAAGGCGGCCCUCUGGUGCUGGACUGACACUGAGGCGCGAAAGCGUGGGGAGCAAACAGGAUUAGAUACCCUGGUAGUCCACGCCCUAAACGGUGGGCACUAGGUGUAGGGCUCGUAAGGGUUCUGUGCCGAAGGGAAACCAUUAAGUGCCCGCCUGGGGAGUACGGCCGCAAGGUUGAA